Molecule: ribosomal RNA, 429 nt
Filed under: uncultured bacterium
Lineage: Bacteria
Description: bacterial SSU rRNA
Rfam family: Bacterial small subunit ribosomal RNA
Source: RNAcentral
UGGGGAAUUUUGGACAAUGGGGGAAACCCUGAUCCAGCCAUGCCGCGUGCGGGAAGAAGGCCUUCGGGUUGUAAACCGCUUUUGUCCGGGAAGAAAUGACCUCCCCUAAUACGGGGGGUUCCUGACGGUACCGGAAGAAUAAGCACCGGCUAACUACGUGCCAGCAGCCGCGGUAAUACGUAGGGUGCGAGCGUUAAUCGGAAUUACUGGGCGUAAAGCGUGCGCAGGCGGUUCGCUAAGUCUGAUGUGAAAGCCCCGGGCUCAACCUGGGAAUGGCAUUGGAAACUGGCGGGCUUGAGUGUGGCAGAGGGGGGUGGAAUUCCACGUGUAGCAGUGAAAUGCGUAGAGAUGUGGAGGAACACCGAUGGCGAAGGCAGCCCCCUGGGCUAACACUGACGCUCAGGCACGAAAGCGUGGGGAGCAAACAGG